Molecule: long non-coding RNA, 15579 nt
Filed under: Prunus persica (peach)
Lineage: Eukaryota; Viridiplantae; Streptophyta; Magnoliopsida; Rosales; Rosaceae
Description: long non-coding RNA (PPER_LNC006150)
Source: RNAcentral
AAUCAUUGACGCAUUUCAUCUCUCUCUCUCUCUCAACUCGUCAAUCUCACUUCUCCCUCUCUCAAACCCUUCACGAAAACACCACAGACCUCAUCGCCUCUCUCUCUCUCUCUCUCUCUCUCUCUCUCUCUCUCUCUCUCUCUCUCUCUCUCUUUCUCUCUCUCACCCCCAACAUUGCUGCCUCUCUCUCUCAAGCAACGUCACCGCCUCUCGCAGUCACUCAUCAUCGUCGCCACUCUCAAUCUCUCAGUCCACCUCGCCGCCUCAUCUCAGUCUCUCUUUGUGUCAUCUCUUCCUUUCAGCGAGACACUCAUCAACCUCGCCGCCUCUCUCAAUUGCUCAUCAUCGUCUCUGCAUCGUUAUUUCCUCCUUUUUAGGUCAAUUUUUUACCCAAUUUUUGAAAUUGAACUUUGAAACUUUGAACUUCGAAUUGGGGUUUAAUUUAGCAAUUAUGUUUUGUUCAUUAUGUUUAUAAAUAAUUUGUUAAUUAUGUUUAGGAUAUGUGUUGGGGUUAAUUAAAUUGUGAAUUGAUUGGUGCUAAGGGUUUAGGGUUAUUAUGAAUUGAUUGGAUAUGUUUUAAAAUGUGAGUUGAAUAGAUUCUGUUUUUAAAGUAUAAUUUGAUUAUGUCGGGCUAUUUUUGAGUUUAAUUUGACGGAGUUUAGGCUGUUUAGGGUUAAUUAAAUAGUUCAAUUGAAUUGAUUUUGUUUUGGACAUUUAAUUUGAUUGUGUUUACAUUGUUUAGGCUGAUUUUGAGGGUUUCAAUUAGGGCUUCGAAUUGGGAAUGGAAUUGGGAAUUGGGAAUUAUGAUUUUCAAUUGAUUUGGCUUUUUUUUUUUUAGUUUAAUUUUUAGGUUUGUGUUUUAAUAUAUUAAUAUGCUUCUAUGUUCUUCUUCCUGUUGUGUUGUGUUUCAUAGAUGAAGUCUAGUCACUCUAACACACCUAAUGCCUCAAAUACCCAAACACAAACCAAAACAGCGCAAACACAACCUCCAACUCAAACACAACAUCCCACACACGGGGGAUUAUCAUGGGAGAUAAGAGGAAAGCCCUAAAAUCAAAUGUGUGAUUACAUUGCACAAAACAAAUAAAGAAUGAUGCUAAUGGGGUAGAGAAGAUUAUAGGGGUUUGCAAUUAUUGCAAAUUAGAGAUAUCGACAGACCCUAAAAAAAUGAGACAACGGGUUUAAAAACUCACAUAGGGAGGAGAUGCAAGCUCUCUCCUCUCAAUCAACAAGGUGAUGCAAAUCAACCUACCAAUGGGUAGAAGAUUGGUCCCCCAUACAUUUAAUCAAGGGAUUUUUGUAGAAAUGUCACCUGAACUUAUAUAUCAGUUUCAAAUUGUCAACUUAAAGAAAAUUUUAAGCAAAAUGUCACCGUAAGUUUUCAAAAUCCAUGAUUUUUCACCUGAUUUAACAUUAUCCAAUUUUUCAUCCAUUUUGAAGGGUAUUUUAAUCUUUCCAAGCAAGAGGGUUUACUAGCUUUAUAUUUAAAUUAUAUAAACUCUAAACCCUGUACCAGUCCAGGCCCCCUAGAACCAGCCAGAACUUUCACCUUCACCUAUUCCACAACUAGUAGCCCCACGCAAUCAGCCCUUGGCACUUUUUCCUGAGCAACCAGCUAUGUUGCCCUAUAGACCUAGAAGGAUGGACCCCAAUCCAUUCCCUCCGCUAGCAAGAGGCAGGAGAGGUAGAGGGGGAAUCAACCUCUUUGCCAACAAUAACAGGAACAGACCGGGGGCAAACUGGAGGAAUCAUCUAGAUUUCGAAGAAGAGGAAGAACAUAGAGAGGAAGUUAUGCCCAGACCAUACAGAGUGGAACAGAGGAUUGAACACAACCAGCCAGAACAGGGGUGCCUGUCAAUGCCUUGAAUGACAUGGGGGCACUACAGAGGAUGAAAGGCCCACUUACAGAAAAAUAUAUCCAGCUUAUAUUGAUCAAAUACCUAUAUCCCCAGGCUUUAAGGUACCAAACUUCAUCUUGUUCAACAGAGAGGACAUUCAUGUUUCAUCAGUUGAGCAUAUAGGCAGAUUUUCUAUCAAGUGCGUAGCCAUAGAAAAUAACCCUCUAUUAAAACUAAGGCUUUUUGGAAACUAUUUCUCUAGACAAGCCUUGACCUGGUAUCCUAGCUUACCAGCCAAUUCUGUUCAAACUUGGGAACAGAUGGAAAAUGUCUUCCAUGACUACUAUUUCAGAAUUCAGUCAGAAGUCACCAUCAGUGAUCUUACUACACUCAAACAGAGUGAAGAUGGGCCUGACCAAGACUUCAUAACCAGGUUCAGAAAGCUCAAAAUGAAAUGCUGAAUCCAUAUGGAAGAAAUGCACUUCAUUCAAAUGGCUCAAACCGCCCUUAAAAUCUCUUUGAGGAAGAGAUUUGAUGGGAUGUUGUUUGGAGACCUGGCAGAACUGGCAGACAAAGUAUCUAAAUACGAGGAGCUGCUCAGAGAAGAGCAACAAAAGAGGAACUCCUCCAAAGGCACAUAUUACAAAACCCCAUCUUCUUCGGUGCAUCUGGUUGAGGUCGAAUCAGAAGAAGGCACAGAAAGCUCGGAAGAAAAGGAAGUUGUAGUGGUAGAAAUGGCAAAGUUAAAGCAUCCCAUCAGUUGUAAGGCUCUGACAAAGGCACCAAAGGACUAGAAGCCGCCACCAUUUACAAGAGGGUUUGUUCCAAACAAACUAGCGCAGAACAAAGUUUAUUCCUUCGAUUUAACCAAGGUUGAUGCUCUGUUUGAUGAGAUGCUACUGCAGAAGGCAAUAGAGACACCCCACAGGUUGCCCAAGCCAUAGGAACUGAAGGGCAGAAAAUAUUGCAGAUGGAACCACUCUUGGAACCAUUCCACCAAUAGUUGUGUUGUUUUCAAGGACGUCAUACAAGAAGGGAUAAUAGUAGGAAGGUUGAAACUGGCUGAGAAACCUCCCUGAGUAACAAUAGAACCUUUCCCCAACCUCAAGUCAACAUGGUCAACUUAAAUUGGCCAGAAUAGAAGAGAGGCAAACCAACAGUAGAAGCUACUCCCAGCAUAGGCAGAAAAGUCACAAUAGAGUCUAAUCAGAGACCAAAAGCAACCAUUCGGUUGGGGUAGUUCUGUGCAGCAGGUGUAAAUGUGAAAGUGAGUUAGAGAUAACUCUGAAUGGGCAAAAUCAGCCCACAACCAGUGUUUUUAACAGAAUUGAAACAUCAUACAAUAGGGCCCAGUUUUGGCUCCGCUUAAAGACAUAGCCAGGAAGAAGGCCUAUCAAAGGUCUACCCAGCUCAACAGAAGAAUGACAGAGCAGCCAAAUAAGGAAAUACCAGUUAAGAUGCCCGGAAAUGAUAAACCCUUGGCAACAAUCAUAGAAGGCAGAUAGUAUUUUGUUGGAAAAAGCGGCAGACCAACUUUGGAGCUAACCAGAACACAUAAUAGGAGAGUUCAGAGGCAAUACUGCAUCUUCCUCAAGAACAAGGACAACACACAGGUACUUCCAGAUGGUAGUUCUGUCGAAAAAGGAAAAAAUCUAGAAGUAGAUUCUCAAGAAGAACAGACAACAUAUCAACCAAAAAAGCUGACAAAGACAAAGCAAAUCCUCUAUCCAUCCUACCUCACCUUCAGUCAAUCAGUUAGAACCUUCACAGUCACAAGGUCAAUCCAAACCUAUUCCAAUAGAAGGACGAGAGUAUUAGAUUGAAGAAUAUGAAGAUGAGCAGUUGGAUUACGAACCAGUUACAGAUGACCAGACUGGACUCCUUAAAACAGGUGAGCAAGAAGAUUGGACAAAAGAAUAUGGAGAAGAAGAGAUGGAGUAUGAGGGAGAACUAAAUGAAGAAACUGAGGCUUUCGGUGCAGAGUUAGAGAGCCUGUUAUAGGGUGAUCUAGGCAUUAAUAUGGUGUUUAUCAGGCCAUAAAAGUUCAGGGCAGCAGAAGGACAAGAGAGCACUUUGGAAGGAGAUAUGCUCUCCCAGAAAAGUUUUGAGUGGAGAUUAGUAGGAAUGGGAGAGGUGUCAGAACAGCAAACACCUACUGCCAAAGCAGGCAGAAAUGCCACAAAAUUGGCUGCAGAAUAGCUGUGCUUUUCCAAACCCACCAAGGAAAUGGCCAAUCAUCUUAGACCUUUGUUUAUAACAACAAACUUCGGGGGUAUUCCUAUCCCUAAAGUAUUGGUAGAUGGGGGUACAGCCAUUAAUCUUCCGCCUCACAGGUUGCUGAUCAAGAUGGGCAGAAUAAAGAAGGAUCUAAUUCCAACACGCUUAACGGUUACCAACUUCGUUGGGGGCAUCACCAAGACUCAUGGAAUACUAGAUGUGGACAUCAUAGUAGGAACUAAGAAGCUGAAGAUUGCAUUUUUCAUGGUGGACACCACUUUUACCACUUACAAUGCACUGCUUGGCAGAGACUGGAUCCACAGAGUCUGUUUGUUCCUUCCACUCUAUACCAGCAGUUGGCCCUCUGGCAUGAAGAAGGUUUUAUGGAAAUUGUGGAGGUCGAGCCACAUCCAUUCCUGCCAUCUGCAUUAUGUUUUUAGGCCAGGUCUUAUCAUGAUAACCUUGGUCCUUUCACUUUCUUUGGAGUUAACCAGAACGGCCAUCCCCAUGGUGUCACGACCCAUAAAAUCAUUGAAGAAGGUCUGGCUAGUUCUCUAGAGGACUGGAACAGGCCAUGCAUUCUCAACCUCCAGAGUUCUGAUGUUUAGCUCAAACCAUCAGAAAGGCUUCGAGCUGCAACAAUCUGAUCCAUUACAAAUAGAUUGUUGGUAUAUUAGGAAGAAAGGAAGCUUUCUAUGCAUAGUCCAGCCAUUAACAUGGCAGAAUUCAUGCAUGAAAGUAUAGAAGAACAUGAAGGAAAUCUGCAAGAGGAAGAAUUGGAAUUGGCACCAGCAGCAUUGGAUGAUUCCCUGCUAGAAGUAGACGAUCCUUUGCAAGAAAUAAACCUGGGGACAGAGGAGGAUCCCGGGCCUACUUUCAUCAGCACAUUACUAGAAGAGCCAGUAAAGAAUAAAAUCAUUGCACUUCUGCAUGAUUUCAAGGACUAUUUCGCAUGGCACUACCAUGAAAUGCUUGGACUAGAUAGAGCAUUAGUAGAGCACAAGUUACCAAUAAAAAAGGGAUACUUAACAGUCAAACAGGCCAGAAGAAGGAUGUCUAUGAAGACAGAACUAAAAGUCAAAGAAGAAGUGGAAAGGCUAGUUAAAGCAGGUUUUAUCAGGCCAACCAUUUAUGCUGAUUGGUGGUCAAAUAUUGUACCAGUUCUUAAAAGGAAAACAGGGGCAGUCAGAAUAUGUGUGGACUACAGAAAUCUCAAGAAAGCAUCUCCCAAGGACGAGUAUCCAAUGCCCAUGGCAGACAUGCUGGUAAACGGAGCUGCCCACAAUCAGAUGCUAUCAUUCAUGGAUGGCAAUACAGGAUACAAUCAAAUAAUGGUAGUAGAAGAAGACAUCCACAAGACAACCCCCAUGUGUCCAGGACAUAUAGGUGCUUUUGAAUACACUGUAAUGCUUUUUGGCUUGAGAAAUGCAGGAGCCACUUAUCAAAGAGCAAUGAAUUAUGUUUUUCAUGACAUGAUAGGUCAUUCUCUAGAGGUUUAUAUAGAUGAUGUGGUGAUUAAGUCCCCAAAAAAAGGAGAUCAUGUAUCAAACCUAAAAAAGGAAUUCUUAAGAAUGAGACAACACAAGUUAAAAAUGAAUCCCAAGAAAUGCGUUUUUGGAGUUCAAGCUGGCAAUUUCUUAGGCUUCUUGGUUCACCAAAAAGGAAUAGAAAUUGAUAAGAAAAAAGCAAAAUCUAUCUUGGAAGCUUUGCCACCUCAAAACAAGAAAGAAUUGCAGAGUCUCCUAGGAAAGAAUUUACUAGAAUUGCAGAGUCUCCUAGGAAAUAUUUACUUUCUAAGAAGAUUCAUAUCCAAUUCUGCUGUGAAAAUCCAGCCUUUCUCCUUCUAGUUAAGAUUUAAGCAGGAACAGUCAUUUAAGUGGGAAGAACAGCAUCAGCAGGCUUUUGAGGAAAUCAAACAUUACAUCUCAAAUUCACCAGUUCUGUCCCCACCAAAAAUAGGCAGACCACUCAAGCUGUAUGUUUCUGCAUCAGAAGUAUCCAUUGGGAGUUUUUUAGUUCAAGAUAACAAGGAGGGGAAGGAACAGGCAGUCUAUUACCUGAGCAGAACUCUUACAGAGGUAGAAAGGAAAUAUUCUGCAAUUGAAAGACUUUGUUUGGCUUUAUACUUUACUGUCUGAUCAAGUACAUGCUAACAAGGCCAAUGUUGAGAGGGAGAAUUGGUAAAUGGACUCUGGCCCUAUCAGAAUUUUCCUUCAGAUAUGUUCCUCAGAAGUCCAUCAAGGGACAAGCUGUUGCAGAUUUCUUGGCCGAUCAUCCUAGAGAAGAAAUUGAGAAUAUGGAUUCCAUGGAUAUAGCCAAUGUAGACCUACUAACCAGUGCUCACACUUGUCCCAAUAAUCCCAUUUACUCAGUCCAUCUCACCCCUUGGAAGUUAUACUUUGACGGAUCUAAGACAAGCUCAGCCUCUAGGGCAGGGAUUGUUUUAAAAGAUCCCCUAGGAAUCAAACAUUGUUAUUCAUUCCAGCUAGAUUUCCAGUACACCAAUAACAAGGCAGAAUACGAAACUUUAAUCAUAUGCCUUGAAAUGCUGGUAGAAUUAGGAAUCUAGUCUAUGGAAAUUCUGGGAGAUUCUAUACUUGUAUUAAAACAGAUUGCUAGAUAGUACAAAUGUUUAAAUCCCUCUCUAGCUGUUUAUCUAGUGGCAACCAGUAACCUCUUGGCAGAAUUCAGGGAAGCUACUUGGGAACAUAUUCCAAGAUAGGAGAAUCUUGCAGCCAAUUAAAUGGCUCAGAUAGCAACAAGAGUACAAAUGCCCAAGGACUGUGUGCAAAGGAUCAUCAAGGUAGGAAAGAAGAGUCUACCAUCUGUUCUGACAAGAGGAAUGGAGAUGGAUGCCAAUUCUGCCAUAAUAACUGAAGAUGACUGGAGAUUGCCUAUAAUCAAUUAUCUGCUUCCCUCUGAAAAAAUAAUUAGAAUCAUAGCCUUAAACUACCUCAUGUGGAAUGGAGAUUUGGUCUGAAAGAGCAAAGAUGAGUUACUUUUGAGGUGCUUAGGGAAAAAAGAGUACAUGAAUGUCAUGGGAGAAGUCCAUGAAGGAAUCUGUGGAGCUCAUCCAGGUGGAAGAUGUGCUAGUUAGUUAGAAGGUAUGGAUACUUUUGGGCAACUAUGAUGAAAGACUGCAUUGAAUAUUCCAAAGGAUGUGAGGCUUGCCAAAGACAUGGACCAAUCCAGCAAGCUCCUUCAGUUCCCAUGAAACCAGUGGUUAAGCCAUGGCCAUUCAAAGGGUGGGCAAUGGAUCUCAUUGGCAAAAUCUAUCCAGCUAGUAGCAAACAACACUGUUUCAUUAUUGUAGCUACAGACUAUUUUCACCAAGUGGGUAAAGGCCAAGCCUGUCAAGAGAUCAUCACUUUCAUUAAAGAACAGAUUAUACAAAGGUUUGGCAUUCCAGAGUCAAUCACAACUAACAAGGGAUCUUCUUUCAUAUCUGGAGAAAUGAUAGAUAUGGCAGAAGCAUUCAAGUUCAAACUACUUCAAUCCACUCCUUACUAUGCUCAAGCUAAUGGAUAGGCAGAAUCAAGUAACAAGGUGAUCAUCAACAUUAUCAGGAAAAUGCUUGAGAAAAAUCCAAAGCAAUGGCAUGAGAAAUUAUCAGAAACUCUCUAGGCAUAUAGAACUUCAAAGAGGGAUGCAACUAGCAUGACCCCAUAUGCUCUAACCUCUGGAGAUAGCAGUAAUUGCUCAGCAACACAAUCUGAUUGGAGAAGACUACUCUCCAGCAAUGCUGCUAGAACUAGAAGGUUUGGAUACUAGCAGAAUUGAUACCCUCAACAAACUCUUAACAGGAAAACAGGUUGUAGCAAGAGCCUAUAACAAAAGAGUUAAAAACAAGAUUUUUAAAGAAGGAGAAAUAGUCUGGAAAGCAGUUCUGCUCCUCGAAACACACAUAACUGGUUAUGGAAAUUGGUCACCCACAUGGGAAGGUCCUUCCAUAAUUAAGCAAGUCCUUGGAUUAGGGGCAUACAGAUUACAGGAUCGAGAUGGAGACAUCCAUGCAGCACCAGUCAAUGGCAAAUGGUUGAAGAAAUUCUAUCCAACUAUGUGGGAUUCACAGACAAUGCAAACAGACCCCGGAAUUGAAAGGGAAAAGGAUGGAAUUGUUGUAUAAAUUCUUGAUCAAAGUUGUGCAUCGGUUUUAUUUCAGUUUGUUUUAUUUUUUGUUUUCUUUUACUCACUUAGAAGAAUUUGAAAACCCAAAGUACCACAAAAAUAAAUGGGAUUUUUCAUUCAAUAUAGUCAAUUUUCAUGACUAAGUUUUAUUACAUUCAAGUUUUUGAAAUAUAAAGUCCUAGUUUCCUAAGGGUUUCUUGAAAGCUGGUCUUUUUGGUGGAAAGUUCUUUCUGAAGCAACACCCCCUGGUAGAUUGAAGCCUCUGCAAUUUCCAGCACUGGCCUAGAACCUAAAACCAUGCUCUACACAAGAAAAGUGGCCUUAGUCUUGGAAUCCAGUCCAGCCCCAAGCUUGUUCUGCACCACCCUUCAUUCUGCCAGCUGUUUUUGUAGUUCUUCAAUUUGUUUCUCCAAUUUGCCUUGGCUUCUUUGUAGCCUACAACCAUAGUGUCCAGUUAUGCCUUCUGUUUUUCAUAAUCAUCCAAAUUGGCUACAUGAGUAGUCUUGCAGAACUCGGAGGCUUUGAAGGUGGGCUUGAGAUCCUCAUAGCGGUCAUGAAGGUUGAGCACAUCUCUUGCCAAGCCCAGGCUGAUCCCAAGUAUGGGCUUGGGAGCCAUGUUUUGUCUAUAUAGCUGGUCCAGAUCCUUCAUCAAUUGAUCAACAACUUCUUUGUUUUCAUCCAGGUCCAGCUCAGUUGAAUGCCAGAUUUUUACUCUUUCCACUGCCUCAUCCACAACCUUGGAUUUAGCCUUGCUAGGAGUAGAGUUGAGCUUCUCAAGUUUCUCCAGCUGAGCAUCUAAAUCCAUAGCUUCAAACUCUGCCAAUUCUGGAUCAGUAAAUGAGGUCGUGGUAGAUGAACCUGGAAGAGAAUGGAUAGGCAUCUGCAAAGGAAGAAUACAAGUCAGUUUCAGGCAGAAUCAAAAUAAAAGAAAGAGCUAAGGCACAGAAACACUUACGGCUACAAUACGAGGCUUGAGAGGACUAGUCAUCAUAGCCAUAGUCCCAGCAGUUCUGAUAUCUUCUACCUAAAAAUAGAAAUAUCAAUUAGACGAAGACAAGGCAGAACUGCAGAGACCAGACGGAGUUAAAAAUAGAACGGGAAAUUACCUCAAGACCAGGAACAUCAAGUUUUGCCCGCACCACGAACUCUGGAAACAUAGCAAGUUGUCCUGCCUGUUCCUCAAGCUCUUUAAAUGAUGCAGAAUGUUCUGCCUGCUCUAUUUCAGGCUCUGGAACAGUAGUGGAGUGCUCUGCCUCCAUGUCAUCAAAUAGGGCUAGUUCAGAGCUAGUCAGUUCUGCCCCUGAGUCUUCUGUUGUUUCUUCGCUAAGGCAAUGCUCUCUGCAAUCACCUCAGCAGGGAUCUUCUCCUAUAGAUAAGACAGAAGUCAGAACAGAAGAACAAAACCAAGACAGAACUAUUUAAAUAGUUAAAGAGAGGGACUCACCUCUUCGUCCACUUCUUUGGUUUUCUCUUGAGGUCCUUCCAUGACCUCUUUCUCUUGCUCAACAGCUUCGAAGGCCUCUCUCAAUUCUUCAUCAAUACCAGAGGUUGUUGUAGGAGCUUCUGCAAGAUCUGUGGCCACAUACUCCACCACAGUCCUCUUCCUAAGUCUCUUAGACCUAGUAGGAAGAUGAGAGGAGGACUUUCAGCUGCAAAGAACAGAAGAUCAAUGGUUACAACAUAAACUAAACUGGACAGAAUAGAAUCAGGAAAGUUCAAAUUCUCAAAAUCUACCUGAAGUCUCAGGCUAGACAGCACUGUCUUGAGCUGAAGCAGUUUAUUUUCUUUUGUUCCCUCUGCCAGAAGGAGUUGCUUAUACAGCUGGCGGUUCUGCCAGAACCUUAUGAUCACCCUCCUCAUCUCCAAAGGGAAGUUCUAAAUCUCCAGCGGCUAUGACAGAAGUGAUUGCACAGGAAACGAACAGUUAGAAGACAAUCCAGCAGAAAAAAUUAGAAAGGUAGAAUUCUGAAGCUUACCAAUCACUUCUCUAGUCUGAACUGCUUGCCCUCUAAUAUUCUUGAUCACAGAUGGAUCUGGCACAGACAAAACAAAAUGUUAGACUUCUUCAUUUGAACAGAAUAAAAUAGAUACAGGCAGAAUAAAGGGAAAACAAACAGAAGUGAAGACCUACAUUCAAUUACUUGCGCAUUGAUAUCCUUGAUAGUCUUCACCAUAAAAUCCUUGGCCUCCUCUGUUGCACGGAUGGUCCAAGAGUCCCAGCCACUUAAGAGCGUCUUCGCAGUCGUACUCGAGGCAAGCAGACCAUGGAAUCUGGCCUUCCACCAAGCAUUGAACUCGGGAGAACUGUAGGAAUUAGUCUCCCAUGAUGGAUAAAAAGCGUCCACACUGUUGUUUAUCUUGUUCCCCGAGCACCUACAGUCCUUGUGCACUUCCAACUCAUCUGAAUCUCUCCAAGAAGUGGCCCGAUUACAGCUUCUAUAUAAUUUGAUUAGAAUGAGCUGAGGGCAGCCAAGUUGUCUUGCGUAGAAGUUAGGGUGGUACACUUCUACCCCCAAGUGAUAGUUGGGAGGCUUUCCACUUCCAAAGGGCAGAUCCCUAGGCAGAGUCACGCUCAGGAACUUCUUCCUAAAAUCUAUUCUGGUUCCUUCUCAAACAGCCUAUAUCCAGGCUGGAACCAAGGGUAAGUCCUCCUAAUCACCACCUGCCACUGAGCAGCAGACCUCUUAGUGCAAUGCCUAAAGAACAUCAAAUAUUCUUCAAUCGACCGCUUAGGCACUUCUGUCGACAUCAAUGAAUGAGCCAGAACCUGAUCUUCAAGCAGAACUAUGUCUGGAAACCUCAAUUCUGGGAAACAAACUUGCAGCCAGAUCUGGAUCAUCCAGAAUGCACCAGGAGCAAACAGGUUCAUGGGAUUUUCCAACGUGGUCGUAUGCAAAUUCUUGAACAAAUGAGCUAGAACUAUAGGUCCAAGCCCUACAUCUGUGUGAUUAUGCAAUGCUUCUGCUAGGUGUUUGUAUUUGAGCAGAACUAUUGAAGAGCGAUUAGGGAAGACAAAUCUAUUCAGCCAAUACAGAAGGAACAUCACGUGCUUCUGAUCCCUAUCCUUCUCAGCACUAAACUUCCUCAAAUAAUUGGAGAAGGAGCAGUUCUGGUUGAUUGUGGCUGGAGAGAUAGUGAAUGGCUUGGCCAGUUUUUCUUGGUUCUUCCUUCUAUGAUAGUCACCAACUGCAUCCACAGGUCUUUCAUGGGGUCUGAACCCAAAAAUCUGCUCCAUAUCCAGCAGAGUUGGAGUUAUAGGGCCUACACGAAAAUCGAUCGUGUUGCUGGCAGAAUUCCAGAAGCGUAGGGCAGCAGCCAGAAGAUUCUCAUCUCUGUUUACGGACUGCUUGGACAGAAAGAUUGUGUCAUAAAGUCCAACUCUCUUCCAGUGAGCUCCAUACCUUGGAAAAAGCCUGUCAAUCCAGUCUGCCCACUUCACUACACUAUUUCUGACUUCACUAGAGGGAAAUGAGCAGCUUAAAUUCUUGCUGACCCAGGUGUGAGAAGCUAGGGCAAAAGAGGUCUGAAAGCAUAGAGGAGCUUCAACAUCUUCUUUAAUUAAUUCUGCCAUUUCAGCAGCGACAGAACCGAACCAAUGAGGCCCUAGAACAAGAGUGUUCUCAAACAAAUGUAACACGUUCCCAUCCAGAACAUUCUGGGCAAAAGGAUGAAGCUUGCUACGGACUUCAAUCGCAUGCUUAUCAACACCUAUGCCAGUAAUGAAGGCAGGAGGAACAGAAGAAGAGGAAGAAGCAGCGCGAGUUUUUGGGGAGGCCAUUUUUAGUUUUAAAAUUGGAAUAGAAGGAAUCGAAUCAGAAGAAAUCAAGGUUGGGUCACAGAAAAAGGCAAAAGAUUCUGAGGAUUUUAAAAGAAAUCAGAGUCUGAAAGAGUUAGGUUUUCAGAUGAACAGGAGCUGAGGGUUUGAAUUUCUUUUAAAGGCUCAGAAUCGUGGGAAGAAGAAGGCAAGACGUCAUCUGAUCACGGCUAGUUAGUACCUAGCUAAUAACUACCCAUUUUCCCACGAAGUCUAGUUCAAUAGACAAGAUGUGGCAGACGUGGGUUAAUUAAAGCGGAAGAGAGUGGCGUGCAACAUUAAUGGCCAAUUGAAUCAAAUCUGAACCGUUAAAAAUUGGAACCGUUGUCCAAAACAUUUCAGAUUCAAUGGGGCAUUGUUUGGGCCAAAAUUCUGCAUGCCUAGCCUAGUGCUGGAGGCCUAGAACGACAAAAGCAAUCUCAAGAUCCAAGCAGUUUGAACUUUUCGUUUAAUUGGAAUCAAGAGCCCCAAAUCAAGAAAGCUCAGCCCAGGAUUUGUCAGCCCAUGAGAAUAAACUUGGGCUUUCGAAAUAGAGAAAAGUAAUCAGCCCAAGCCCAAGUUAGAUUUUUUAGGCUACCAAAUAGACCAAAGAUUGGAAGAAGGCCGAGUGCAUGUGAUUUGCUCAGCCCACAGUCCCAAAACUGAACCUAGGCUUGGCGUGAUUGAGUGAAGAUAAAGAACAUCCCAAAAUUGAAGAAACCCAAAUCAGUUUUAUCAAAACUGCUAGUUCUUUACCCAAAACAUUAGAUAUCCAAAAUUGACGAGCUCAGCCUUGGAUCAGAAAGAAGCCCAAUCUGGAAAUUUUCUAAAAAACUCACCAGUGAUCUCAAUCCCAGAGUGCAAGACAGCAGAUUUUGUGGAAAGAUUUUUUCGCAAAAAAACCACGUGACUACCUGACUUUGAAAAAGUCAAAAAUUUCAACUAUCACAAAGGAGUUGACAAGAAAUUAAUGAAGGGCAGGUCUUACAGGAAGACUUCUCCAGUCUUUACAGUAAAAAAAAAAGAUCGAAAUCCCUUUCUAUAUACAAAGAAAAUUUUGCUCCAGAGCAGGUGCCAUUUCCAAGGGAUAAGCAGACUACAUUUUUCUAAAGAAAUAAGUAGGGACUAGAGAGUUGUUCAUCAGGAAAAUCAAACUAACCAUCAUGACAGUUUUUGCAUUCUUACAAGGGUCAGUUAAAAGAUUAAAAGGGAUUAGGUUUUCUUUCAGAAAAAGUACGAAAGUGAUCACCAUAAGAACUGACUAUUGAUAGUUCUUUGAUAGAAUAGAUAAAAUUCGCCUUUUUCUUUGAUAUUUAAAAUAAAAGAUCUUAUUUUUAGAAAAUCUGCCGCCCAUUAUUAAAAGAUUAGAAAACCCACUCCAGCAUUUUUUCUAUAAAUAUGAGAGGAGGUGAAAGACGGCCAAAAAAAUCAAUAAAAAAACCAAACACUCAAAAUGAUCACUUGAUCUCAAAAACCUUCAAAAUAUUGAAGCAACCAAAGCUCAUUGAGCCACAAGAAACAAGUCAACUAUAAUUCAGAAUUUCUAACUUCAGUUCAGUUUCAGAGAAAUAGUCAUACAAAGCGAGAUUUCUCUCGUUACAAAUUUGGUUCAACAUAAGCCAAAUCAAGCAGAGUUCGGGUUUUUACGAAUAUGAAAACCUCAACAAAUUUAUAGAGAGCCCUGAUCAAGCAGAACAGGUACCAUAGUGCAGUUCCAGCUCAGUAAUCAUCAAAUCCAGCCACUUCUGCAAAUUCCAGACUGAAGAGGUUCCAAUUCUGCCCGUUCAAAAAGCCUUCCAGAGCUCGAAAUAUAUUAAAGCUCUACCAAACUCGAAUAUUAGUAUCGAUUUACAGCUGAAACUUGACAGUUGAAGAUGUUGACGAGCCAAUCCAACACAGAAACAUCCAAUCCAGCCAGGUCCAGAGGCAGUUAUCCAGGCAGAAAUCGAAGUCCAACAUACUAUUGUUUUGUUUCAAAGUUGACAUUUCAUUUUUGAGUCCUGUAAAUAGUCAGUUCUGCCUGAAACAAUUUACUUUCUUCUUGUCCAUUCUGGCCAGAACUACCCCUUUUGUACUGUGAAAAAUUAUGAAGUCCUACUUGGGAGAUAUUCCCUACCCAAAUUCACAAUCGUUUGUUUAGAAUCAGUAACUUGGGGCGCAAGUUAUCUAUUUUCAAAGUCUGCUAGGGUUUUUUACUGCUAGCAGUGGCACGCUCACACACAAAAGGAGAGUUGGCUUGUUGACCAGUCAAUGAUUUUCGGGUGAACACAAAUAUGCAAAUGGAUGUGCCUACAAGGUGGAAUGCAACCUACAAAAUGCUUGAAGGUGUAUUCAAGUAUAUGCAAGUCCUUAAGAGGAUGUCUUAUAGUUGUGAAGUGUUUCAAGCUUACUUUCUAGAGGAAGAGAAGCUUAAGAAAGUGAUGGUUAAGAGAGUGGGACCUCCAAAUGAUGAUGAUUGGGAGAAGACAUUAGCUUUUGUGCAUUUUCUCAAAAAGUUUUAUGAUGUUACAUUGAAGCUGAGUGCAACCAAAACUUGUACAUCCACAAUAAUUUUCCUAGAAUUGGUUGGGUUACAAGUUCUAAUAGAAAAAAAAAUGAAGGAUCCUAGAAAUCCUACUAUGCAACGGGUGGCAUAUUCAAUGAAGUUGAAAUUUGACAAAUAUUAGAGCAGCUUUGAUGUUGUGAAUAAGCUUAUAUUGUUGGGCAAUGUGCUAGACCCAAGGAUGAAGCUUCAAAUGCUCUAAAUAAGCUUUGGCAAUCUUGGGGCGGAUGCUAAAAAGCAAGAUUAGAUUGUUAAUGAGGUUGUAAAGUGUUUGAAUGAUUUGUAUAAUGAGUAUAAAUGAGUUGAGGUGAUGUUGUGAGCCAAAUUGAUGAGGAUGCGGUUGCACAAGUUGGUAAGGAUGUGGAUGCCACAUUUCAACAAAUGCAACAACUUGUGCAAAAAAGGAAGGAUGAGCAAUCCAUUGAGAUAUCCAAUGAAGUGGCGGAAUUCCAGAGAGCCCUUUGAGCAAACAAUUCAAUUUCUUGAAUUGGCGGAAAGGGAACGAAACAAGAUAUCCAAUUCUUUCACAAGUUGCCAAGGAUAUCUUUGCAAUUCCAAGUUCUAUGGUUGCUAGUGAAAGUGCUUUUAGCCUAGGCAAGAGGAUUGUGGAUCCUUUUAGAAGCUCAUUGCAUUCUAAAAUGAUAGAGUUAUUAGUGUGUACUUGCGAUUUGCUUAGGGUGGACGAAUUUUCAUUUUACAGGGAACCCAAUGAUGAUGAGAUUGAAUUCUACAAGGAAAUAGAACAUGUUACAACCUGUAAGUAAUUAGUUUAUUAUUUUCAUGUUCUUUAUGCUUCUUAUAAUAUUUUUUUUUUACUAAACUUGUGUUGUUUUAUUUGUAGAUGGUGGCCAUUCACAACCGAGUUCUUCAAAUCCACUCACCACCAACACUUAAGUUCUCUAUGUUUUGUAACUUUAAUAAAAUUUGCAUUGCAUUUUUCUUUUAGAUUGUAACUUUAAUUAAAUUUGCAUUGCGUUUUUUGUUUGGAUUGUAACUUUAAUUAAAUUUGCAUUGCAUUUUUCUUUUGGGUUGUAAUUAAAUUUUAACUUUAUUUGCUCGAG